GGCCGGUAACACUGAGAUGGAUAACAAUAUCCCAAUACCAUCUGCUCUCGCCAGUUUUAGCCCCAGGCAGCACCAUCUUCAAAUGAGCCUUUACGUCGUGUCACGUGACCUCCACGACAGCCUCCUCAUCUCUGAACCCCAUGCUGUACCCUCCAUGAUCAGCUGAGACCUGAGUGACAUCAUGUUGGCUCUGCUGAUUCUGUCUAUGUUUCAACAUGGCCUGUCUCUGAAGACGCCCCCUGAGGUACUGGGGUAGAGUUGGGGGGGAACCAGUUUGUCUACGCUGUGAUCAGGACAACACCACCAAGACUGUCCUGUUCUGGUACCAGAUGAGAAGAAGUUCCUUCCAGUUGGUACUGUUCUCCUUUGGCCAGGCGGUGGAUGUAGAGGCUGAACACGAGAGGAAUCUCUCUGACUCUGUUUGUGGACAAGACUCAGCUCUCUCACAACGCGGAGUACUACUGCGCCAUACAGGGUACACAGUGAGCAGUCUGGAUCUGCGUCCCUGACAACAACAAAAAAUGACCUCAAAGCUCAGGAGGAGUGGUGGGGGGGCUGAGAAGGAGGCGGGGUACGUGUGUGUGUGUGUGUGUGUGUGUGUGUGUGUGUGUGUGUGUGUGUGUGUGUGUGUGUGUGUGUGUGUGUGUGUGCGUGCGCGUGCGCGUGCGUGCAUGGUGAGUGUUGAGACAGAAUGAAUGGCUGUUGUAUCCUCUAGGGGGCUCUCAGAUACCAGAACUAAACUACAGCCCUCCUGAGAUGCUGACCUGUUGCACCCUCUACAACCACUGUGAUUAUUAUUAUUUGACCCUGCUGGUCAUCUAUGAACGUUUGAACAUCUUGGCCAUGUUCUGUUAUAAUCUCCAACCUGCAAAGCCAGAAGAGGACUGGCCACCCCUCAUAGCCUGGUUCCUCUCUAGGUUUCUUCCUAGGUUCCUGCCUUUCUGGAUAAUUUUUUCCUAGCCACUGUGCUUCUACAUCUGCAUUGCUUGCUGUUUGGGGUUUUGAUGUAAAAAAAAGGGCUUUAUAAAAACAUUUGAUUGAUUGACAACAUAUACAACUCUCCCAGUCAGACAACAUGGUUGCUGUGGGCCUUCUCCUGCUGCUGCCACUAGAACCAUCAACAUGAUCAAGCUUCUCAUACAUGUUGCAACUCUACCACUGUGGGUGACAGGGCUGUCACAAACAGACAAAGUCCAGCAGACUCCUACUGCAAUACUAAAAGGACCUGAAGAUAACGUUCAACUGAACUGCAGCCAUACUAUUCCAACCUACAACAUUAUACUGUGGUACCAGCAGUCAGCACAAAACACUGCUCUGAAACUCAUUGGGUAUGUGUUCCUCACCAGUCCUACUGUGGAAGAUUCCUUUAAAGAGCGUUUUACUGUGA
RNAcentral lists this long non-coding RNA (1387 nucleotides) under Salmo salar (Atlantic salmon). RNAcentral describes it as "lncRNA (ENSSSAG00000120779.1)". Lineage: Eukaryota; Metazoa; Chordata; Actinopteri; Salmoniformes; Salmonidae. The record is from RNAcentral.